RNAcentral lists this ribosomal RNA (542 nucleotides) under uncultured bacterium. RNAcentral's name for it is "bacterial SSU rRNA". It matches the Rfam family "Bacterial small subunit ribosomal RNA", at positions 355 to 896 of the family's 1533-position model. The record is from RNAcentral.
UGAGGAAUAUUGGUCAAUGGGCGAGAGCCUGAACCAGCCAGGUAGCGUGCAGGAAGACGGCCCUAUGGGUUGUAAACUGCUUUUAUGCGGGGAUAAAGUGAUGGACGUGUCCGUCAUUGCAGGUACCGCAUGAAUAAGGACCGGCUAAUUCCGUGCCAGCAGCCGCGGUAAUACGGAAGGUCCGGGCGUUAUCCGGAUUUAUUGGGUUUAAAGGGAGCGUAGGCCGUGGAUUAAGCGUGUUGUGAAAUGCAGGUGCUCAACGUCUGCACUGCAGCGCGAACUGGUCCACUUGAGUGUGCACAACGCAGGCGGAAUUCGUCGUGUAGCGGUGAAAUGCUUAGAUAUGACGAAGAACUCCGAUUGCGAAGGCAGCCUGCGGGAGCACAACUGACGCUGAAGCUCGAAAGUGCGGGUAUCGAACAGGAUUAGAUACCCUGGUAGUCCGCACGGUAAACGAUGGAUGCCCGUUGUCAGGCUGUUUCAGCCUGGUGACCAAGCGAAAGCAUUAAGCAUCCCACCUGGGGAGUACGCCGGCAACGGUG